GGCCGCUUACACAUGCAAGUCGAACGAAGUAGCAUACUUUAGUGGCAGACGGGUGAGUAACAUGUGGGUAUCUGCCCUUUGGCCUGGAAUAACACGAGGAAACUUGUGCUAAUACUGGAUAAGUCUUUACGGAGAAAGCUUUAUGCACCAUUGGAUGAGCCCGCACUUGAUUAGUUUGUUGGUGGGGUAAUGGCCUACCAAGACUAUGAUCAAUAGCUGAUUUGAGAGGAUGAUCAGCCACAUUGGGACUGAGACACGGCCCAAACUCCUACGGGAGGCAGCAGUGGGGAAUCUUGCACAAUGGAGGAAACUCUGAUGCAGCGAUGCCGCGUGAGUGAAGAAGGCCCUUGGGUUGUAAAGCUCUUUCGUCGGGGAAGAAAAUGACUGUACCCGUAUAAGAAGGUCCGGCUAACUUCGUGCCAGCAGCCGCGGUAAUACGAAGGGACCUAGCGUAGUUCGGAAUUACUGGGCUUAAAGAGUUCGUAGGUGGUUGAAAAGUUAGUGGUGAAAUCCCAGAGCUUAACUCUGGAACUGGCAUUAAAACUUUUCCGCUAGAGUAUGAUAGACGAAAGCAGAAUCUCUAGUGUAGAGGUGGAAAUCGUAGAUUUUGAA
RNAcentral lists this ribosomal RNA (612 nucleotides) under uncultured Alphaproteobacteria bacterium. RNAcentral's name for it is "bacterial SSU rRNA". It matches the Rfam family "Bacterial small subunit ribosomal RNA", at positions 41 to 701 of the family's 1533-position model. The record is from RNAcentral. Lineage: Bacteria; Pseudomonadati; Pseudomonadota; Alphaproteobacteria.